CCCUUAGAUGUUCUGGGCCGCACGCGUGCUACACUGAGUGGAUCAGCGGGUCAGGUUGCGCGAAAGCGUUUCCUAAUCUUUAAAUCCGCUCGUGAUGGGGAUUGACGGUUGCAAUUUUCUGUCAUGAACGAGGAAUACCUUGUAAGCGCGGGUCAUCAUCCCGCGCUGAAUACGUCCCUGCCCUUUGUACACACCGCCCGUCGCUCCUACCGAUUGAAUGGUUCAGUGAGAUAAUCGGACAGAAAACUUGGCAACUGGCAACAGUUGACGUGCAUUUUUGGAAGACGAUCAAACUUGGUCAUUUAGAGGAAGUAAAAGUCGUAACA
RNAcentral lists this ribosomal RNA (326 nucleotides) under uncultured eukaryote. RNAcentral describes it as "partial 18S ribosomal RNA". It matches the Rfam family "Eukaryotic small subunit ribosomal RNA", at positions 1470 to 1796 of the family's 1831-position model. The record is from RNAcentral.